Long non-coding RNA from Topomyia yanbarensis, 2291 nucleotides. RefSeq lists it as uncharacterized. Lineage: Eukaryota; Metazoa; Arthropoda; Insecta; Diptera; Culicidae. The record is from RefSeq and is a predicted model, not a curated record. The transcript has 4 exons.
UGACGACGGAUCAAGAAAUUUCUGCACUCGGUUAACGAACUGAGUACAUAUCACCAAGGAUAAGGAUUCAGAGCCGGCGGCUGGCAGUCCAGAGAAAGAGAAUGCGGAAAAACCUAGUCCACCGGCAGUAGAACCAAAGCUGCACCUGAUGUUUGGAGUUCGGUAGCUACGGAAAUUCUGACUCUACAAGCUGCAAGAGAAAAUGGAGAAACAGCUUCCUCCGCGGAAGGCAUUCACCCGGCGGAUGCAAGUUUGCUAAUGAAAGAUGUUCGCUAAGGUCUAGUAGAAUCAAAGCUGGAUCUGGAGGUGCAGCGGAAGGAUUCUUCUUCGCCGAUUGGUUGGUUAAAACUUUCGAAGCUUUGCACAUGAAGCCGGAAUUACUACAGGGAGUCUAUGCGAUGGGUUUCAACGCCCCUUCCAAGAUUCAGGAGAUGGCUCUACCUACUCUGUUGGCCGGUCUGCCACGGAAUAUAAUCGCUCAGUCAGUCGGGAAUAGGAAAAACCGUUGCCUUCGUGCUGGCAAUGCUCAGUUGAGUCCAUCAGUUGAAAAACUAUCUGCAGGUGAUUUGCCUUUCCCCCACGUAUGAGCUGGCAAUUCAGUAGGGGAAGUAGCUGCCAAAAUGGCAAAGUUUUGUCCGGAAAUCAAACUUCCUUACGCCGUUCGCGGUGAGGAGACCGUCAAAGGGGCGAAGCUGACUAAUCAUAUCAUCAUCGGAACACCCGGCAAGCUAAUGGACUGGGGUAUAAAGUUCAGGACGUACGACCUAGUUUCCCCUUUUUGUACUGGACGAGGCGGGUGUUAUGGUCGGUGUUAUUCUUGGCCACGUACGAGCGCGAGGUGAUGGAGUUUGCCGAGUACAUCGUACCCAAUCCGAUCGUCAUUCGACAGGCGCGGGAGCAAGAAUCAUUCGAUAACAUCAAACAAUACUACCUCAAGUUCCGCAUCCAGGACGAGAAGUUGUGUGAUUACCGUUGGACAAGCGAUCAUUUUCUGUCAUAUGAUCUAUAGGACAAUUGUAAACUCCAAGUAAACUUAUUUUCAGAACUGUUAAUCGAUCGUUUCGAUUACGUACGCAAAACGGCCGGUUGGUUGACCGGCAGGAUGUCCCAGGAUGGUCACUCGGUGGCGGUACUGUCCGGUGAUCUAACGGUGGAGCAACGGUUGGACGCUCUGGAUCGAUUCCGAACCGGACUAGAGAAGGUACAGAUUAUAACGAACGUUUUGUCCAGAGGUAAGUUCCACCACUUGAUUCUGGCUACAGCACCAGGUUACGGAGAGAUUCCUUUGGCUUAAAUAUCGACGUCGAACAGGUGACCAUUGUCGUCAACUUCGACCUGCCGAUGGAUCAGCAGGGACGAGCCGAUUGCGAAACGUAUCUAUAUCGAAUUAGACGCACCGGUAGAUUCGAACGGAAUCACCAUCAACCUAGUGGGCAGUGAUCGAAGCAUGAUGAUUUGCAGAUCAAUCAAAAAACACUUCCCGAAAAAGAUUCAGUUGCUAGACGCGGAGAACUCGGACGAAAUUGAAAAGAUCGCACCGUAAAGUGUUUUCGACCAGCUACUGGUGAAAGGCGUAGGAGCUUUUUUGGGUCAUACUUGUGUUGAUUCUGAAUUUAUAAUUUUAUUAUAUUUUUUUAUUUUUUUUUCUUCCUUGACCUGACAUAAGGUAUACAAAUGUAAUCUCUGAACUAAAACAUCAGAUGAAUAGCAUUAAGGAAACUUUAGCAGACCUAACAGACUUGAAUUGCAAUGUCCCAGCCUCUACAUCAAUUGUUAAUUCGACUAUCUCAUCACCAUUAUCUUCGACAAAGCUUCGGUAUGGUUCGAAAACAGAUACAGCUUCGAGUAAGACAAUAAGAACGCCUUCUGAGAGAUGCUGGAUCUUUCUUACCAGAAUAAAAAAUACUGUCAGUGAACGAAAAAUUGCCGAGAUGGUUGCUGUUUCAACGGGGAGUGCUAUAGAGACAGUCGUGGUGAAUAAACUAGUACUGCAGUGGAAGAACGUGUUGACGAUGCCUUUCGUUUCGUUUAAAGUUGGCAUUGAUGCCAAUUUGGCGGAGAUUGCGUUAAACCCGUCAACAUGGCCAAAAGGAGUUUGUUUUCGGGAAUUCGUAAAUCGAACGACUGUCUGGGAACCUGCUGGAUAAAAUAUGUAACUAAUUCAUAAAUUUUUGGUUUGUGCAUAAUAAUUCUAUCCGUUUUUUUAAAGAUAUAAUGAUUGUAUGUAUAAGUAAUUAGUAUUUAAGUACAAGUCUGUACGAGCUUGCUCGAAGGCGAUAAAUAAAUAAAAA